Molecule: ribosomal RNA, 1167 nt
Filed under: Omadius occipitalis
Lineage: Eukaryota; Metazoa; Arthropoda; Insecta; Coleoptera; Cleridae
Description: partial 16S ribosomal RNA
Source: RNAcentral
GAAAAUAUUUAUUUAUUGAAUUUAUUAGUUUAUGAUUUAUUAAAUAAAAUAAUUAUGUUUUUAUUAUUAAUUAAGAAAAAAUAUGUAUAAUUAUAGUUAAAAGUAUUGAGAAAGAAAAUUUUUAUUUAUUAAAAAGAAAAAUUAAAGUUUUGUACCUUGUGCAUCAGGGUUGAUUAAAAAAUAAUUUAAUAGUAAAUAUUCUCGAAUUUAAAAGAGCUAAUUAAUUAUAAAUUUUAUUGUGAAAUAAAUAUUUAAAAUAUUUAAUUAGAAAUGAAACGUUAUUCGUUUUUAAAUUUAUCUAGUUUUUAAAUAAAUAAAUUUAAUUUAGCUAUUUAUUAUUAAAAAUUUAAUUUAUUAAAUUUUUAUAAUAAAUAAGUAAUUUUUUUGGGGAAAAGCUUGAAAAAAAAUAAUUAUAAUAAAAUAAGAAUUUUAAUAAGUUAUAGGAUUAUAAUUUUCUAUAAAUAAUAAAAUGUUAUAAUUAAUUAUUAAAAAAAUAUUAUUUUUAUUUUAUUUAAAUUUUUUAUUUAAAUAUAGUUAUUAAUUUUAAAAAAUUAGUAAUAAUGAUUAAAUUAGUAUAAAUUAAUGUAUAAAUAUCUAUAUAAUAUAGGUAAGUUUAAGGAAUUCGGCAAAUAUAUUUUUCACCUGUUUAUUAAAAACAUGUCCUUUUGAUUAUAAUUUAAGGUCUAAUCUGCCCACUGAGGAUUUAAAUGGCCGCGGUAUUUUGACCGUGCAAAGGUAGCAUAAUAAUUAGUUUCUUAAUUAGAAGCUGGAAUGAAAGAUUGAAUGAGAAAAUAACUGUCUCAGAUUUAUUUAAUUAGAAUUUUAUUUUUAAGUUAAAAAGCUUAAAUAAUUUUGAAAGACGAGAAGACCCUAUAGAGUUUUAUUUAAAUUUUUAAUAGAAAAAAAUUGAUUUUAAAUUUUUUAAUAAAAAUUUAAAUUUUGUUGGGGUGAUAGAAAAAUUUAAUAAACUUUUUUUAUAUUUAAACACUAAUUAGUGAUUAAUUGAUCCAAAUAUUUUGAUUAUAAGAUUAAAUUACCUUAGGGAUAACAGCGUAAUUUUUUUUGAGAGUUCUUAUCGAAAAAAAAGAUUGCGACCUCGAUGUUGGAUUAAAGUUAAAUUUUGGUGUACAAGCUAAAAUUUUAGGCCUGUCCGACCUUUAAAACUUU